CACUUUAUGAAAAAUGGACCCAUGCCAAAAUGAUCUCUGGAACUAAGUAGUAAUUUAAACUUGCAGAUCCUUAGGCAUCAAGGCAAAAAGGACAUUUCCAAUAAAAGAAUAUAGACUUGCUCUUUAGAUGAGAAUGACACCUGUUUCUGAAAAUAAAUUUCAAAAGGUUAUUUAUCCCAUGAAUUGUUAUUCAAAGGAUACUCGAUAAUGUGAUGGGUACUGUCAUGAGCAGUGGCUUUGUAAAAAAAAGGCAGACAUGUUUCCAUUAUAAGCCAUUUCUUAUCUGACCCAUAACACAAUGUAGAGAACACUGGGGAGGGCAUUAAAUUAAAAAAUAUAACUUCUAGAAGGUAGCAUUGCCAGGUAAGUACAGGACACCCAGUGAAAUUUGAAUUUCAGAUGAACGAAUUUUUAAUGUGUCUAAAAAUUACAUAGAACACACUUACACUAUAAUUUUUUCAUUCUUUAGUUAAAUUUAACUGGGUGCCUUGCAUUUUUAUUUGCUAAAUCUAGCAACCCAACUAGGAGGUCGAGAUUUGAGUCAUAUGUUUGAAUCACCUGGCAGCCUCCACUAUGAAAUAAUCACCACGCCUGGCAUUGCCACAGCCCUCUUUCAAUUGACCCAUACUGAUCGGAAGGUCCACAAGUUGUCAGGUCUGUCUUCACCUGCCCCACCAUCAAAUCUCAGGAGUUCUAGCUCUUAUCUCUGCAUCUCUGGGGAAAUGGGCUGGCUGACCCUUUGCAAUACUCUCAAGUUGGCACUUAGCCCUUUGGUUCCCUAAAGUCGAUGGUCAGACUUAAGAAGGAACAUUUAUUUGGUUGUCAUGGGCGAGCAAGGAUUUUACCUCCUAGGCAAGCCCCCCAGUAUUUAUCGCACUGUCUCUGCACUUGUAGUAUAUUAUUAGCCUUUUAUGCCUUCUCUGUCACCUGUUGAAAUGAGAACGCAGGGUCUCUAGGCCUCUGCAGCCUUUUCCCUUACAUUAACUUAAGUCACACCAGAUGUGGGCCUUUACUGCUUAGGAAGACUAAUUGAUUUCACUAGUCACAAUACGUCUAUUGUUUUAUUUUUUAAACACAAAUAAACACUAUGGAGGAUUUGCUCUUCCCUCUCCCUCUCUCUUCUUGCCUCAAGAGUCAAAGGGUAUUCAAUUAAAGGCAUCCAGAAAGUGUGACAAAGAAAUCCAUCGAUGCAGUACAUCUACUGUUAAAGAAAAAAAGAAAAAGAGAAGAAAGAAAGGAGGAGGAUAAAGGAUUGGAGGGAAGAGGGAAGGAAGCCUCUCAGGGACCAGCAGUAACUCUGAUGGAUGGCUGGUGUGUGUAAGACGUUAUUAUUUGUUAUGUGAGUGUAGGGAGAUGGCAGCCGAGCUGAGCAAUACACCUGCUGGGCUCCAAGAAGCCAAAACAGCUGCACACAUUGAUUUAGAAGCUUGCUACUUGGGGCUCCAGGAACGAAUCAAGCGACAGCUCGUAAAAAAAGAGGGUUUUAUGAUUUUCCCCCCUCUUCUGCAAGCAAAUGGCCACAUCAUAUGUUUUCCUAACACGGUCAUAACUCAAAAUUAAAUCCCAGCCCAAGGUGUCAGCCUGGUGCCAUGUCAGGAUUGUAACGGCUUGUUUUAGAGGUCGCCAUGGAGAUGGUGGAGAAAGGAUGGGGGGUAGGUCUUGGGAGGUGGGAAAGGGUACAAAGUGCUCUUUGCCUCAGUGUGGCUUAGGCACUUAAGGACAAUUAGCGUAGGGUUUUGUUUUGUUUUAAAAAAGUGAGUUAACAGUGUUUAGUUGAUGAUUUUAUGCUACUUAGAACCUCAAUUCAUAGUGUUAAAAUGGAAAGGCACUGUCCCACAAAGGAGCUACUCCAGCCAAAGUGAGUCCGAGUGAGUUGUUGUGGCACAUGCACUGCCAAGAUAGAACUCUCAGCGGCACUUCAUGCCCCUCACACUCCAAAUCUGGCUGUUGAUUACGCAAAAUGGAAUGGAGUCAAGAUACUUUUGGUAAAUGCUGAAUGAAAGUGCUUGGUCAUAAAGAAGAGUGAAAUCCUUUAAAAGGGCUUUCAGAUUUCUUCAAAGUUAUAGGCUGAAUGUGCAGGGCCAAGGUGGUAUGGGACCCAGUGAUGUCAGACCUCUCCAUGCAGUGCUCACCCCAAAGAUGACAACAGUCUGUCGGACUGUCAGAUAAGCAUGUAUGGAUAGAUGUCAUGGAUUUCACUCAUUUAUCAAGUAGUUAGCAUUAGACACCUUAAAACUGCAUAAUGAAUAUUCCACAAAUGAACAAAUGCACACAAGGAUAAGUGAAUGAAAAAGAUGAAUUUAUGCCUCAUGACUAAUAGCUCUGUAACAGCACAAUCACAGUAAAGAGAUACAAAUAAUGAUGUUUUUCCAAAGCCCAAAUCUGUGUAAUCCCCAAGGCUCAGACAUGAGCAAAGGCUCGGCUCUUACAUCAGCGAAGGCUCUUACCUUGCUGUGCAGAGAAGUCAUCUGUCGAUCUGCUCUCUAUCAUCACUUGGAUGUCAGCACAUUUCCAGACCACUCUCUCUCCUGAAUUCUCAUUCUGCAUCUCCAGCUGCCUAUAGUACAUUUCACUUAAAUCCAUAGUUUUUCUACUAAUUUAUUCUCUCUUGUCUUCCCUAAUUUUUUAUCUUGAUUUUCUGCUUUUUAUUAUGGCAUCAUAUUAGUCUUGGUCAUUGAUGUUCAAAAUAUCAGAUAUAAUUUCUGUUUCCUUUCUAGAUUCAGACAGACAUCCCACACUCUCCUUCCUUCUUUCACAAUGUCCCUCAAAUCUACAAUGUCCUUCUUACUUCUGCUCUCAUUUCCUAGCUCAGUACCAUAUUAUGUCAUGUGUCAGCUGCAGCCACUGCUUCUAUUCAAUCUCUUUUCCUUUAGUCUCUAAGAUCCCUUUCCAUCCAGCACUUACAACACACCUAGCACUUUGCUGCCAGGAUAAAUUUCCCCAAUUAUGACAUGCUUCCAAUCACUCCCUCAAUUUCCCAUGGAAUAAAAUUCAAAUAUUUUUAUCUGGCCUUUAAGGAACCAUCUUGCCUUUAUUGAUCCAUUUUCUACUGAUAACAGGUAUAAAUAUUCUGUACUAGCAAAAAUAACAUUAAAAUAAUAAAUAAAAUUAUAAAAUGGGUGUAUCCAUCACUGUACAUUUUACAUGCAUUUUUUCCCUCAGUAUUCCACAUAUGUGAAAUAUGUGAAAAUAUUUUAUUUUCACAGUAAUAUGAGGCAGGUUCUGUUAUUAUAUCCUUUUCAGAUGAUAAAAUUGAAGCACAAAGGAGCUAUGUAUCUUGCUCAAGAUUACCAAUGGGAGAGGUGGAACCUGACCUAUGCAAGUAGAUUCAGAGCCCACAGGUCUCAGAAACCACACCAUUACCUCGUUACAACAGCUUACUCUGCCUCCUACAGACAGCUUUGCUCCACCACCUCACUGCCUUUGCUUGACUACUUCCCUUUUCCAGACUGCCUUCUUGCCUCCUCUCAACAUAAUUUCAAACAUUUUGAAGUUCUACUCAAAUGUUUACUCCCCCACAGAAUACAUGUGCCCCCAAAGAAUUCUCUUUCCUAAGAAUUGGUGCAGCCCACUGUCUCUAUCAUUUACUAACAUUCAUGCCUUGUCAGACUGUCAAUGUCUUAUUCUUCUCUGGAAUCACCUCACUACCUGGCCUGGUAACAUCUACCAGUUCUUGCUCAAUAAAUACCUAAUUGGCAGAAUGAAAAACUCCAAAAUGAACUACAUACCAGGGUCACUUUUUAUACCUUAUUCUUUGUCCUCUCUUUUGGUAUUAAAACUUGCUUUUAUAUCACGUCACUCUUUUAAAAAAUAAUUUUUAACCUUCUUUGGGCUGUGGUUUGAACACUUAAAACUACUGAUACUCUCCUUUUUCCUAAAAGAUAUUCUCCUUUUUACUAAACUCCUAGGAAGUGUUGGGCAGGUGAACAGGAAUGUGUUGGGUUUAAUGGUGGAGUAGAUAACAUGAGACUUUGAGGCCAUUCAGCAGUACAUUUCUUCCUCUGGUAGCCUUUCAAGAUGGCAGACUAUCUCCCGCUUCCUCUGUUAGUCUUGAAUCUCCCUGCUCAGUGCUUUUCCUAGAGUGGCCUCCUUGGCAAUGCUCCAAGGAGGAAACUUAACCUCAGCCUUUCCCAGGUCAAUGUCCCUCAGUUAUAAUACAUUCAUUCCCUUGGGAGACUUCUUGGCUACUGCACCUGUAAGAAAACAAUCAAAUAAGUACUUAGGUUUUCUCUCUUCAAUGAAUACCAAGAAAUUUGUUUGUGUCCAUCUUUUAGCCCAAAGGAAUGAAUUUCAAGUGGUGUGACAUUUCAGGCUUUAUAGGGGAAGGGCAAUUAGGGAGUUGUGUGUGUAGCAGGGAGGACAUUCCUGCAUCCUUGAAUCAUAACUCUUCUGCUACAUGAAAGACUACCCCUUAAAAUGAGCAUUCAUGUCUUGACACCUCAGGCAAAUAUAUAAUACAAAUAUGAGAGUUUCCAGAAUCCAAAAUAUCAAUACAAACACUUUGUAAACUAUUAAGUGCUUCCCCUACAGAAUAGGUGCGUCUAGUACAUACUAGUAUAUGUAGUAUUUCAAAGAGAUUAUCUAGAACAUGAAUCAUAUGUGUAUGAAGUAGGAAAGUACAUCUCAGGAAAGCUGGGGAGCAUACUGGAUUCUAGCAAUUGUAGGAAAGGAAAAGAGUUUGUCAAUCCUUAUCAUAAUGUACCUAAUCACAGACAAUCCUUUGUUAAGAUGGUAAUAUUCCUGGGAGACAUGACAUACUACACCACUGUAAGUCUGAGAAAUUAUGACUUUAUCAAAAAUGAGGAUGCAAAUUAGCUAGCUCUCAGAUCACUGAGGGAUUAAGCAUGAAAUGGGAAAGUUUUGUUAAGAAUUGGAGGAAAUGGAAUAGUAGGUUUGUCUGCCUAGGGUGUGGCCAGGAAAGCCUGGGUCUAGGAGAGCACAGUGUAUGGUGGGCAGGAAUCAGAACAGUAAAGGAA
Molecule: long non-coding RNA, 4976 nt
Filed under: Sus scrofa (pig)
Lineage: Eukaryota; Metazoa; Chordata; Mammalia; Artiodactyla; Suidae
Description: lncRNA (ENSSSCG00000054463.1)
Source: RNAcentral